This 1944-nucleotide long non-coding RNA is filed under the name Pelobates cultripes (western spadefoot toad). The record is from RNAcentral. Lineage: Eukaryota; Metazoa; Chordata; Amphibia; Anura; Pelobatidae.
AAAUAAAUAAAUAAGGGGAAAUAAACAAUCUGGCAUUUCUUGACCUAAGCGGUCUCUGGUUAAGUUAUACACAGAAUAAUCACCCGUAAGGAUGUUGAGGUGGAUACUCAGCGUUCAUUUCUUAUGGUUAUGUCAGCGGGGAGAUCAAGCUUAACAUAAAUAGUGUCUAAUAUGCGAGUUUGUACCAGAGACUACGUUUGAUAGUCGAAGUACUAGGUGAUGAAAUAGAGUAAUAAAAUAAGAUAAACUAGGAAGACAACAGAACUCGGGUGUGAGCAGUCUAAUACACCUUAACACCUAGAUUUUUCCCCUCCUCCUCUCCUCCUUUUAUGUCUUAUCUUUUCCCUCCUUUAAGACUUAGUUUUUGUUAUGCUAUGCAUAGUACAUAUAGUUCCAUAGUGCCUCAUUCGCGACCACAGGUCUAUGGGCACAAACCGUGUCGUAUCAGGAAUAAACAAUGUAUAUUGUUAUAAUUUGGCAAGGUAAUAUCGAGUGUACUAAGAGGUGAGUGAACAUGCCUGGCGUCAGAUUUAACUGGUUGGUGUGAACUACAAGCACACUAUGGUGUUCGAGAGAAAAUAACAAGGAAAGGGAAAACAGUUUAAGUCAUAGUGCUAAACAUAAUGGUGGGGUGGAAACGAUAAGGUUGUUCAGCAGUGUGGGUUGGGGUUGUGCAUGGCCGUCCCUAUACAUAAUAUGCCUGAUGGUGGGGCAAUGUCCCGGUAACUCACACAGUCCAGAAUUGACUUUCAGGUUGUGGCAGUGCCGGUGGGUGAUUCUUUCUGUCGUCUGGGGACAAAUUCAGCAGCGCUAGCCGUUUCCCAACUUGGGGGGUUCCGAGGUCUGUCCUUAGGUGCUGGCUGGGUCAAUGCAUUCGGGGGGAGGCCGAGCAGCCCCAGGAUCAUCGGUGCCUCUUGUAUGCAGUGAAUUUUAUGCGUAUCUUCGCCUUUUGUUACCGUCAGGGUGUGAGCUGGGCCCCAGCGGUAUGUGACAUGUUUCUCACGCAGAAGUGAUGUCAAUUGUUGCAGGGAUCUGCUCCAGGCUAAAGUGGCUCCCGAGAGGUCCGCAUAAAACAUUAGGUUCAUACCUUCGAAGGGGUAGGUCUGUUGGAGCCUGGCCACGGCCAGGACUGCGGAUCUGUCUCUUUGGGCUUGAAACUGCAGGAUCACAUCACGGGUGGCUGCGUCUGGAGCUUUAGUGGGUUUUGGGAUACGGAAUAUUUCAUCCAGUAUCACUGCUUUGGCUUAUUUUGGGUUUAGCAUUACCGUGAGGAGCCGCCGCACGAAAUGGGGCAGUUCAGAGUCCGUCACAGUAUCUGUUAUUCCUCUGAUCUUGAGAUGCUUCAGCCGACGUUUAUCUUCCAGCUCAGCAAAUCGUAAGUCAUUUUGUUUAGACAGGUUCCUCAGCGCCAGUAUCUCUUGCUGUAGCUCCUUGAUAUGUGUGUCUUGGGCUUGCGUGGUGUGUUCCACAGCUCCAAGUCGUCCAUUGAGGCCCUGCAGCGUGUCCCGAAUUGAGGCCACAUCUGCUGAUAUUUUUUUAUGGUGGUCUGCCAUUAAUUCUCUGAUGGCCUCCAUGCUCACCGGGGUAGGGGUUGCGGCGGGUGGUGGGGGCUGUGUUCGAUUCAGUGGGAGUUUGGGGUUGGCUUGUAGGGGCUCCCCUUCUGCGUCAUCCGAAGAUUCACUGUAGAAGUCUGAGCAUCCGCCAUGGAGGGACGCCAUGUUAGGGAUAGAGGCUUCUUGGGCCUUCCGCCACAACUCGCCAAUAUGUGUGCCCGGGUGGAGUUUUUCAGGCUUUAACUUCUUUGUCUUUCGCCCCAUCGCGUUCGCCUAAACGUUUGGGUCCGUCUGGGUUGGGUUUGACCCGAUUGUGGGUGUUUUUAGUGGGUUUUGUCAGUUUCAGGCCUGGAGCUCAGCAAUCCUGCGACCGUCCGCUUCAGUGGUUAGG